This 739-nucleotide ribosomal RNA is filed under the name uncultured zygomycete. Its description in RNAcentral is "eukaryotic LSU rRNA". It matches the Rfam family "Eukaryotic large subunit ribosomal RNA", at positions 23 to 667 of the family's 3401-position model. The record is from RNAcentral. Lineage: Eukaryota; Fungi.
ACCCGCUGAACUUAAGCAUAUCAAUAAGCGGAGGAAAAGAAAAUAACAAUGAUUUCCCUAGUAACGGCGAGUGAAGAGGAAAGAGCUCAAAGUUGGAACCUAUUUGGCUUAGCUAAAUCGGAUUGUAAACUGUAGAAGUGUUUUCCAGACACGCCUGGUAAAAAAGUCCUUUGGAACAGGGCAUCAUAGAGGGUGAGAAUCCCGUCAUUGGCCAGAGCUGUUGUCUUUUGUGAUACAUUUUCAAAGAGCCAGGUUGUUUGGGAAUGCAGCCUAAAUUGGGUGGUAAAUCUCACCUAAAGCUAAAUAUUUGCGAGAGACCGAUAGCGAACAAGUACCGUGAGGGAAAGAUGAAAAGAACUUUGAAAAGAGAGUUAAACAGUAAGUGAAAUUGUUAAAAGGGAACCGUUUGGAGCCAGACUGGCUUAAUCGUAAUCAAUCUAGGCUUUGGCCUGGAUGCACUUGCGGUUUAUGCCGGCCAACGACAGUUUUGUUUGGGAGAAAAAAUUACAUUGAAUGUGGCCCCUCGGGGUGUUAUAGCUUUGUAAAAAAUAUCCUGGACUGGACUGAGGAACGCAGUGAAUGCCUUUAGGCAAGAUUGCUGGGUGCUUUCACUAAUAAAUGCUAGAAUUUCUGCUUCGGGUGGUGCUAGUGGUUAAAGGAGGAACUCGCCUGGUAUAUUUUUUAUUCGCUUAGGUUGUUGGCUUAAUGACUCUAAAUGACCCGUCUUGAAACACGGACC